This 496-nucleotide ribosomal RNA is filed under the name Alteromonas sp. RNAcentral's name for it is "bacterial SSU rRNA". It matches the Rfam family "Bacterial small subunit ribosomal RNA", at positions 45 to 539 of the family's 1533-position model. The record is from RNAcentral. Lineage: Bacteria; Pseudomonadati; Pseudomonadota; Gammaproteobacteria; Alteromonadales; Alteromonadaceae.
CAGCCUACCAUGCAAGUCGAACGGAAACAUGUCUAGCUUGCUAGAUGAUGUCGAGUGGCGGACGGGUGAGUAAUGCUUGGGAACUUGCCUUUGCGAGGGGGAUAACAGUUGGAAACGACUGCUAAUACCGCAUAAUGUCUACGGACCAAACAGGGCUUCGGCUCUGGCGCAAAGAGAGGCCCAAGUGAGAUUAGCUAGUUGGUGAGGUAAAGGCUCACCAAGGCAACGAUCUCUAGCUGUUCUGAGAGGAAGAUCAGCCACACUGGGACUGAGACACGGCCCANACUCCUACGGGAGGCAGCAGUGGGGAAUAUUGCACAAUGGGGGAAACCCUGAUGCANCCAUGCCGCGUGUGUGAAGAAGGCCUUCNGGUUGUAAAGCACUUUCAGUUGUGAGGAAAANUUAGUAGUUAAUACCUGCUAGCCGUGACGUUAACAANUCAAGAAGCACCGGCUAACUCCGUGCCAGCNUCCGCGGUAAUACGNAGGGUGCGAGC